GUGCUCACUUCGGCAGCACAUAUACUAAAAUUGGAACGAUACAGAGAAGAUUAGCAUGGCUCCUGCUGAAGGAUGACAUGAAAAAUAAAAAUUCCUGAAGCUUUC
Pelobates cultripes (western spadefoot toad) is the source of this 105-nucleotide non-coding RNA. Lineage: Eukaryota; Metazoa; Chordata; Amphibia; Anura; Pelobatidae. The record is from the annotation of a GenBank genome assembly.